UACGAAGGGGGCUAGCGUUGCUCGGAAUCACUGGGCGUAAAGCGCACGUAGGCGGCUUUUUAAGUCAGAGGUGAAAUCCUGGAGCUCAACUCCAGAACUGCCUUUGAUACUGAGAAGCUUGAGUCCGGGAGAGGUGAGUGGAACUGCGAGUGUAGAGGUGAAAUUCGUAGAUAUUCGCAAGAACACCAGUGGCGAAGGCGGCUCACUGGCCCGGUACUGACGCUGAGGUGCGAAAGCGUGGGGAGCGAACAGG
Molecule: ribosomal RNA, 253 nt
Filed under: uncultured bacterium
Lineage: Bacteria
Description: partial 16S ribosomal RNA
Rfam family: Bacterial small subunit ribosomal RNA
Source: RNAcentral